RNAcentral lists this long non-coding RNA (2497 nucleotides) under Salmo salar (Atlantic salmon). RNAcentral describes it as "lncRNA (ENSSSAG00000116402.1)". The record is from RNAcentral. Lineage: Eukaryota; Metazoa; Chordata; Actinopteri; Salmoniformes; Salmonidae.
GGCCAUUGGUUCAGGGUUAGGCCUAUAGCAUUGAGCCAUGCUUGCCCCUCCCUCAUCAGUCUCCUCUGACAGACAGGCCAUUGAUUCAGGGUUAGGCCUAUAGCAUUGAGCCAUGUUCUCAGCAUGUAGUGCACCCUGCCAAUCAGCUUCGAGGUGGUCUGUCUUCAUCUAACAGAGAGACUUAGGCUGCUUCCCAAAUGGACCCUAUCACCUCUAUAGUGCACUGCUGGUGGAAAGUAAGGCACUACGUAGGGGAUAGGGUGCCAUUUGUGACGCAGCCUUACAGCCAGACCCAGAGACAGGCUGAUAGAGGGCUGUGCCCUGCCAUUUGUGACGCAGCCUUACAGCCAGACCCAGAGACAGGCUGAUAGAGGGCUGUGCCCUGGGGAAGGGGAGAGAGGCUGAGCCCUGGGGGAAGGGGAGAGGCUGAGCCCUGGGGAAGGGGAGAGAGGCUGAGGCCUGGGGAAGGGGAGAGAGGCUGAGGCUUGGGGAAGGGGAGAGGCUGAGCCCUGGGGAAGGGGAGAGAGGCUGAGGCCUGGGGAAGGGGCGAGGCUGAGCCCUGGGGAAGGAGAGAGGCUGAGCCCUGGGGAAGGGGAGAGGCUGAGCCCUGGGGAAGGUGAGUGGCUGAGGCCUGGGGAAGGGGAGAGAGUCUGAGCCCUGGGGAAGGGGAGAGAGGCUGAGGCCUGGGGAAGGGGAGAGAGGCUGAGGCCUGGGGAAGGGGAGAGAGGCUGAGGCCUGGGGAAGGAGAGAGGCUGAGGCAUGGGGAAGGGGAGAGAGGCUGAGCCCUGGGGAAGGGGAGAGGCUGAGGCCUGGGGAAGGGGAGAGAGGCUGAGCCCUGGGGAAGGGGAGAGAGUCUGAGGCCUGGGGAAGGGGAGAGAGGCUGAGGCAUGGGGAAGGGGAGAGAGGCUGAGGCCUGGGGAAGGAGAGAGGCUGAGCCCUGGGGAAGGGGAGAGGCUGAGGCCUGGGGAAGGGGAGAGAGGCUGAGCCCUGGGGAAGGGGAGAGACUGAGGCUGCUGGGCUUCAAUGGGGGAAGUCCUGAUCAUGACAGAGCCGUAGCUAAUUGGACAACAAGGUGUCCUGUGUUCCCAGACCAGACUGGCCUGGCUAAUCAUCCUCUGAGAAGCUCAUACCUGGGAAUAUAUGUGUGUGUGUGACAAAAAGAGAAGGAAGUGUCAAACUGGGCAGGGUGAGAGGUGGGCAGCACCAUGCAGACCAGGAGGCUGAGGACAGAGAUCUGCUACCUCUGUUUCCUGUCUGUGGGAAGAGAAUCUGCUUUUGGUUUUUGUUUUCAGAUUCGUCGUGAAGUCCUAAAUUCUUUAGGGUUUCUGUGGCUAAGUCAAAGAAGGAGUGACAGGGAAAGGUAUGCAGUUUUUUGAAAUUGAUUUUAUUUCAUUGAUUGAAAUUAAUAGUGUUGAGAAUUUAGCAGAAGAUGAAAACAGCUUUGCGACAAACAUGAGCGUUUCCAAAAGGUAGAGCAGUUCUCAGUAUUGUUGAGCUACAGAGGAAACCCCAGCAUUGAUCUGUGAUAAGUUAUGACAAGAGGAUAUUGAUCCAGUGGCUCAGAGCUCACAGGACAACAUAAAGAGACCGCAGAGACAUCCAUCUGUCCUCACAGAGACAUCCAUCUGGAAGAGAGACCACAGAUCUGUCUUCUGGAAGACAGGCUAGAGAGAGAGACCACAGAGCUGUCCUCUGGGAGACAGGAUAGAGAGAGACAACAGAGCUGUCCUCUGGGAGAUAGGCUAGAGAGAGAGACCACAGAGCUGUCUUCUGGGAGACAGGCUAAGUAGAGAGACCACAGAUCUGUCUUCUGGAAGACAUGCUAGAGAGAGAGACCACAGAGCUGUCCUCUGGGAGACAGGAUAGAGAGAGACAACAGAGCUGUCCUCUGGGAGAUAGGCUAGAGAGAGAGACCACAGAGCUGUCUUCUGGGAGACAGGCUAAGGAGAGAGACCACAGAUCUGUCCUCUGGGAGACAGGCUAGGGAGAGAGACCACAGAUCUGUCCUCUGGGAGACAGGCUAGAGAGAGAGACCACAGAGCUGUCCUCUGGGAGACAGGCUAGAGAGACAGAGACCACAGAGCUGUCCUCUGGGAGACAGGCUAGAGAGAGAGAUCACAGAGCUGUCCUCUGGGAGACAGGCUAGAGAGAGAGAGAGACCACAGAGCUGUCCUCUGGGAGACAGGCUAGAGAGAGAGACCACAGAUCUGUCCUCUGGGAGACAGGCUAGGGAGAGAGACCACAGAUCUGUCCUCUGGGAGACAGGCUAGAGAGAGAGACCACAGAUCUGUCCUCUGGGAGAGAGACCAGAGCCUGUCACAGCCCAUUCAAAUUCACAUACCAGACCAAAUAUAUAUAUUUCAGAACCAGAUGAAAUAUGUUGUUAAAAACAUAUUGUGUGAUUGUCGAUACAUUACUUUCAAUCUCAUUUGCAUUCUUUCUGAGAAAAGUUGAAAGAGAAACUCUAACCAUUUUUCAUAUGAAGACAUUGUUAAGC